This 496-nucleotide ribosomal RNA is filed under the name uncultured bacterium. Its description in RNAcentral is "partial 16S ribosomal RNA". It matches the Rfam family "Bacterial small subunit ribosomal RNA", at positions 28 to 507 of the family's 1533-position model. The record is from RNAcentral.
GAUGAACGCUGGCGGCGUGCCUAAUACAUGCCAGUCGAGCGAACAGACGAGGAGCUUGCUCCUCUGACGUUAGCGGCGGACGGGUGAGUAACACGUGGAUAACCUACCUAUAAGACUGGGAUAACUUCGGGAAACCGGAGCUAAUACCGGAUAAUAUAUUGAACCGCAUGGUUCAAUAGUGAAAGACGGUUUUGCUGUCACUUAUAGAUGGAUCCGCGCCGCAUUAGCUAGUUGGUAAGGUAACGGCUACCAAGGCAACGAUGCGUAGACGACCUGAGAGGGUGAUCGGCCACACUGGAACUGAGACACGGUCCAGACUCCUACGGGAGGCAGCAGUAGGGAAUCUUCCGCAAUGGGCGAAAGCCUGACGGAGCAACGCCGCGUGAGUGAUGAAGGUCUUCGGAUCGUAAAACUCUGUUAUUAGGGAAGAACAAAUGUGUAAGUAACUAUGCACGUCUUGACGGUACCUAAUCAGAAAGCCACGGCUAACUACGUG